This 775-nucleotide ribosomal RNA is filed under the name uncultured Neocallimastigales. RNAcentral describes it as "partial large subunit ribosomal RNA". It matches the Rfam family "Eukaryotic large subunit ribosomal RNA", at positions 24 to 643 of the family's 3401-position model. Lineage: Eukaryota; Fungi; Neocallimastigomycota; Neocallimastigomycetes; Neocallimastigales. The record is from RNAcentral.
UAUCUCUGUAGAGUCUGCAUAUCAAUAAGCGGAGGAAAAGAAACUAACAAGGAUUCCCCUAGUAACGGCGAGUGAAGCGGGAAGAGCUCAAAUUUGAAAUCUUCAAGGUUUGACCUUGACGAAUUGUAGUUUAAAGAAGUGUUUUCUGUUAGAUGAGUAGUAAAAGUUCCUUGGAAUAGGGACAUCAUAGAGGGUGAGAAUCCCGUAUUUGACUAUUCAUUUCUAGCUUUGUGAUACACUUUCAAAGAGUCGGAUUGUUUGGGAAUGCAGUCCAAAAUGGGUGGUAAAUUUCAUCUAAAGCUAAAUAUUGGCGAGAGACCGAUAGCGAACAAGUACCGUGAGGGAAAGAUGAAAAGAACUUUGAAAAGAGAGUUAAACAGUACGUGAAAUUGUCAAAAGGGAAGCGUUUGACACCAGUGUUGUUUUUCCGAAAAUCAAUUACGAAUGGCUUGAUUUUGUGUUGUAUUGACCUUAUCAGCUUUCUUCACUUUUUUCGAGUCUUUCUUAAUGCACUUUUCGGUUAACAAGUCAACAUCAAUUUCUUUUGUUGUAAAAGAGUAUUCGGAAGGUGGCUUUCUUUUCGGAGAAAGUGUUUAUAGCCCUAUACUUCUACAAUCGGAGAGAUUGAGGUCUGCAGCGUAGAUCCUUCGGGGUUAGAUACACUUGUGCUAAGUUGUAGCUUUUCAUAGACAACUUGUUGACUAUGUUUAGUCAUGCGGCUUACUCGCUUGUGCUAUUUUACCUACGCUUAGGAUGUUGACUGAUAUGUAGUCGU